CAAGUCGAACGGGAUCCAUGAGGUAGCAAUACAUCGGAAGAUCUAGUGGCGAACGGGUGAGGAUCACGUGGGAAACCUGCCCCAGACUCUGGGAUAACAAUUGGAAACGAUUGCUAAUACCGGAUGACGUCGGAGAACCGCAUGGUUCACUGACGAAAGAUAUUUCGGUUUGGGAGGGUCUCGCGGCCUAUCAGCUUGUUGGUGGGGUAAUGGCCUACCAAGGCAACGACGGGUAGCUGGUCUGAGAGGAUGAUCAGCCACACUGGGACUGAGACACGGCCCAGACUCCUACGGGAGGCAGCAGUGGGGAAUCUUGCGCAAUGGGCGAAAGCCUGACGCAGCAACGCCGCGUGCGGGAUGAAGGCCUUCGGGCUGUAAACCGCUUUCAGCAGGAACGAAGAUGACGGUACCUGCAGAAGAAGGAGCGGCCAACUACGUGCCAGCAGCCGCGGUGACACGUAGGCUCCAAGCGUUGUCCGGAUUUAUUGGGCGUAAAGAGCUCGUAGGCGGUUUAGUAAGUCGGGUGUGAAAACUCUGGGCUUAACCCGGAGACGCCAUCCGAUACUGCUAUGACUUGAGUUCAGGAGGGGAGCGGGGAAUUCCUAGUGUAGCGGUGAAAUGCGCAGAUAUUAGGAGGAACACCGGUGGCGAAGGCGCCGCUCUGGACUGAAACUGACGCUGAGGAGCGAAAGCAUGGGUAGCAAACAGGAUUAGAUACCCUGGUAGUCCAUGCCGUAGACGGUGGGCACUAGGUGUGGGUUCCAUCUAACGGGAUCCGCGCCGGCUCUAACGCAUUAGGUGGCCCGGCGGGGGAGUACGGGCGGAGAUGAGACUCAUUCGAAUUGACGG
This 849-nucleotide ribosomal RNA is filed under the name uncultured bacterium. RNAcentral's name for it is "bacterial SSU rRNA". It matches the Rfam family "Bacterial small subunit ribosomal RNA", at positions 58 to 916 of the family's 1533-position model. The record is from RNAcentral.